This 468-nucleotide ribosomal RNA is filed under the name uncultured bacterium. Its description in RNAcentral is "partial 16S ribosomal RNA". It matches the Rfam family "Bacterial small subunit ribosomal RNA", at positions 28 to 507 of the family's 1533-position model. The record is from RNAcentral.
GACGAACGCUGGCGGCGUGCUUAACACAUGCAAGUCGAACGGAAAGACCCUGCUUUUGUGGGGUGCUCGAGUGGCGAACGGGUGAGUAACACGUGAGUAACCUGCCCUUGACUUUGGGAUAACUUCAGGAAACUGGGGCUAAUACCGGAUAGGAGCUCCUGCUGCAUGGUGGGGGUUGGAAAGUUUCGGCGGUUGGGGAUGGACUCGCGGCUUAUCAGCUUGUUGGUGUGGUAGUGGCUUACCAAGGCUUUGACGGGUAGCCGGCCUGAGAGGGUGACCGGCCACAUGGGGACUGAGAUACGGCCCAGAAGGCUACGGGAGGCAGCAGGGGGGAAUAUUGCACAAUGGGCGGAAGCCUGAUGCAGAAACGCCGCGUGCGGGAUGACGGCCUUCGGGUUGUAAACCGCUUUCGCAUGUGACGAAGCGUGAGUGACGGUAAUGGGUAAAGAAGCACCGGCUAACUACGUG